This 187-nucleotide unclassified non-coding RNA is filed under the name uncultured fungus. RNAcentral describes it as "sequence contains ITS1, 5.8S rRNA gene". The record is from RNAcentral. Lineage: Eukaryota; Fungi.
UUGAAUGCAAUUGGAGUCGGUUGUCGCUGGCCUCUUCACUGAGGCAUGUGCACGCCUUCUCCGUUCAUCCACACACACCUGUGCACUUGUGAGACGGACUAACCCUUCCGAGGGGAUGCCCCGUCUAUUAUACAUAAACUCCAAUUUAUUAAAUUCGAAUGUAAUCAGAUGUAACGCAUCAUUGAAC